UUUUAGGAUUUUAAUUUGAUUAUAUUUGUAGACUCUGUCUCUCUCUCUCUCUCUCUCUCUCUCUCCUGCAAUCCCUCAUUCUCUCUGAUUUCGCCAUGGAUGGGAGUAAGCAGAGGUUCGAAGCUCUCGGAGAAGCAGAGAGGUAAAGAGAAGACGAUGAAGGAGAAGAAGAUGAUGAUGAUAGUGGCGGUGGCGGGAACGAUGUAGAAUUGGAGGAAGUUGAUGAUGAUGACGGUGGCAGUGGUGAAGUUAGGAGCCAACUCGGUGGGUUAGACUGUUCGUUACCACCUCCAAUCAAAGCACAGUUGGGCGGUUCUCAAUUGGAAACCCUAGCCAACUCCGAUCUUCCAUGCGAUUUUGUUGCUUCUUCUCGCCAUUUCUCGGAGGUGCCAGUGGUUUAUGCUCUUCUAUGGCUGCUGGAUUCGGCUGCAUUCAAGAUGAAAAAAAUAUCAUCAAUAGAUAUCCAAGUCAACAGAACUCUGGUUGUGUUUUAGAGAUUGCCUCCCUUUUGAGUGGGAAGUUGGCUUUACAGUUGCCGAAGUUACAGAGCUUGUGAGGAAAAAAA
Camellia sinensis is the source of this 565-nucleotide non-coding RNA. Lineage: Eukaryota; Viridiplantae; Streptophyta; Magnoliopsida; Ericales; Theaceae. The record is from RefSeq and is a predicted model, not a curated record.